CCGGGAGCCUCAGCCGGCUUCCGUGGCGCUCCUUCUCCCUCUGGUGGUCGGCAGCGGGGCGAAGUUGUUUCCGUGCUCUGAAGGGGUGAGGCUGUUAAGUUCCAGGCCCAGCCUCUGGUUUGAGAGAAUUUGGAAAGAGAGCUAACAGUGACUCCCUGUGACCCUCCAGGAACUUCUGCAGUGUUAGCCUCUGAAGCUUGACACUCCAGGGCCACGGCUUGCUUCAGACAGUGCCCCGUGGUUCUAGUAAAAGCUUCAGGAGUGUGUUGGCGUCGCUGUCCUGCGUGCAUCUUGCCAGAGGCCAUGAUUCUGUUCUCUGCAAAAAUGGGAUGAAGAGAUGCAGGGAGAGGAAAGCAUAAGACUUGCAGAAUUUGGGGCUAAAAGUGAUAGAUGGGCCAAAGGGAGGAACAUUGAUUGACAAUUUGGAAGGAGGAACACGAUG
Molecule: long non-coding RNA, 442 nt
Organism: Lepus europaeus (European hare)
Lineage: Eukaryota; Metazoa; Chordata; Mammalia; Lagomorpha; Leporidae
Exons: 3
Source: RefSeq, a predicted model, not a curated record